AGAGUUUGAUCCUGGCUCAGAUUGAACGCUGGCGGCAUGCCUUACACAUGCAAGUCGAACGGCAGCACGGGAGCAAUCCUGGUGGCGAGUGGCGAACGGGUGAGUAAUAUAUCGGAACGUGCCCAGUCGUGGGGGAUAACGCAGCGAAAGCUGUGCUAAUACCGCAUACGAUCUAUGGAUGAAAGCGGGGGAUCGCAAGACCUCGCGCGAUUGGAGCGGCCGAUAUCAGAUUAGCUAGUUGGUGGGGUAAAAGCCCACCAAGGCGACGAUCUGUAGCUGGUCUGAGAGGACGACCAGCCACACUGGAACUGAGACACGGUCCAGACUCCUACGGGAGGCAGCAGUGGGGAAUUUUGGACAAUGGGCGAAAGCCUGAUCCAGCAAUGCCGCGUGCAGGACGAAGGCCUUCGGGUUGUAAACUGCUUUUGUACGGAACGAAACGGUCUUCUCUAAUACGGGAGGCUAAUGACGGUACCGUAAGAAUAAGCACCGGCUAACUACGUGCCAGCAGCCGCGGUAAUACGUAGGGUGCAAGCGUUAAUCGGAAUUACUGGGCGUAAAGCGUGCGCAGGCGGUUAUAUAAGACAGAUGUGAAAUCCCCGGGCUCAACCUGGGACCUGCAUUUGUGACUGUAUAGCUAGAGUACGGUAGAGGGGGAUGGAAUUCCGCGUGUAGCAGUGAAAUGCGUAGAUAUGCGGAGGAACACCGAUGGCGAAGGCAAUCCCCUGGACCUGUACUGACGCUCAUGCACGAAAGCGUGGGGAGCAAACAGGAUUAGAUACCCUGGUAGUCCACGCCCUAAACGAUGUCAACUGGUUGUUGGGUCUUCACUGACUCAGUAACGAAGCUAACGCGUGAAGUUGACCGCCUGGGGAGUACGGCCGCAAGGUUGAGACUCAAAGGAAUUGACGGGGACCCGCACAAGCGGUGGAUGACGUGGUUUAAUUCGAUGCAACGCGAAAAACCUUACCCACCUUUGACAUGUACGGAAUUUACCAGAGAUGGUUUAGUGCUCGAAAGAGAACCGUAACACAGGUGCUGCAUGGCUGUCGUCAGCUCGUGUCGUGAGAUGUUGGGUUAAGUCCCGCAACGAGCGCAACCCUUGUCAUUAGUUGCUACAUUUAGUUGGGCACUCUAAUGAGACUGCCGGUGACAAACCGGAGGAAGGUGGGGAUGACGUCAAGUCCUCAUGGCCCUUAUAGGUGGGGCUACACACGUCAUACAAUGGCUGGUACAAAGGGUUGCCAACCCGCGAGGGGGAGCUAAUCCCACAAAGCCAGUCGUAGUCCGGAUCGUAGUCUGCAACUCGACUACGUGAAGUCGGAAUCGCUAGUAAUCGUGGAUCGGAGUGUCACGGUGAAUACGUUCCCGGGUCUUGUACACACCGCCCGUCACACCAUGGGAGCGGGUUCUGCCAGAAGUAGUUAGCCUAACCGCAAGGAGGGCGAUUACCACGGCAGGGUUCGUGACUGGGGUGAAGUCGUAACAAGGUA
Molecule: ribosomal RNA, 1493 nt
Filed under: metagenome
Description: bacterial SSU rRNA
Rfam family: Bacterial small subunit ribosomal RNA
Source: RNAcentral